GUGGGGAAUCUUGCGCAAUGGGCGAAAGCCUGACGCAGCCAUGCCGCGUGAAUGAUGAAGGUCUUAGGAUUGUAAAAUUCUUUCACCGGGGACGAUAAUGACGGUACCCGGAGAAGAAGCCCCGGCUAACUUCGUGCCAGCAGCCGCGGUAAUACGAAGGGGGCUAGCGUUGCUCGGAAUUACUGGGCGUAAAGGGCGCGUAGGCGGACAGUUUAGUCAGAGGUGAAAGCCCAGGGCUCAACCUUGGAAUUGCCUUUGAUACUGGCUGUCUUGAGUACGGGAGAGGUGAGUGGAACUCCGAGUGUAGAGGUGAAAUUCGUAGAUAUUCGGAAGAACACCAGUGGCGAAGGCGUCUCACUGGCCCGUUACUGACGCUGAGGCGCGAAAGCGUGGGGAGCAAACAGGAUUAGAUACCCGAGUAGUCC
RNAcentral lists this ribosomal RNA (425 nucleotides) under uncultured bacterium. Its description in RNAcentral is "partial 16S ribosomal RNA". It matches the Rfam family "Bacterial small subunit ribosomal RNA", at positions 354 to 796 of the family's 1533-position model. The record is from RNAcentral.